Molecule: long non-coding RNA, 2380 nt
Filed under: Volvox carteri
Lineage: Eukaryota; Viridiplantae; Chlorophyta; Chlorophyceae; Chlamydomonadales; Volvocaceae
Description: long non-coding RNA (VCAR_LNC002395)
Source: RNAcentral
CGGCGCCGUCAAGACCACUACAGCCGCUAGUAUUGCUUGCGCUGCUAUUGCUGCUGCCGGCAGCUGCUGACGUGUCGAGCUCCACUUUUAAGGCCCGGACCGACCCAAGGGUCACUUGUGCACCGCAGGUAGCGACAUGGAGGUCGGCUUCCACGAUCUUGGACACGGACACAGGGCAACCUGUUGGUUGACAGUUGUGUUGUGCGGUCGUUGGUAAGUUAGUUGGUUCUCAAUAGUCGUUCGGGAAGUCGUUAGGACGGUAUUCUCUGGACAGUUUUUCGUUAGGGCGGUGGUUCGUUUUGGAUCAAGCUCCUCGCAAUUCCUUUUUGCUCAUAAGGCCCCUAUAUGCUGCUUCGUUCGUACCUGUCGUACGGAUGUCCAGACUGAUCCACUUCUCCGGGAUGGACAAGCGAAGCAGACCGGCGCCGCCGCUGCUACCGCUGCUACUACUACUACCCUUCAUCCCCAAGCCGCUAUCAGUGAUACUGCUGCUGCUACUCUUGCUACUGCUGCUGGUGGUAGCAGCACUGUCUCCCGCGACGCAGUAGCCCCCGCCGCGGCCGCCGCCGAGCUCUCGUCCGCCGUCAACGUCUCCUCCUGUUGCUUCUCGUUUUCGGAUUUCUGUAAUCAUCACCAUCACCAUCAGCAGCAGCAGCAGCAGCAGCAGCAGAAGCGUCAGCAAUUCAGCGUAUCGGUGAUAGCAUUCGCUGCAACAGCAGCAGUGAAAAACACUUCAGUAAUGAACACCAGCACCAGCACAGCCACCUGCAGGGCUGGCACCAACACUGAUGACCAACCCACAACGAACAACCAGAACCCAACGGAUGACCGGAAGACCCGGCCGCAACCCGAAAAAAGACCCACCCACCCACCCCACCCCACCUGUUUUAAAAAUAUCGGGGAAUAUCGGGGAGGGCUUUUCAUUCCGGGAAAUCCAUUAGGCCCAAAACAGCCGAUUCGCGAAUCGGCUGAGGACGCUGGGACUUGGCCAGAGCAUGCAUUCUGGCGGCGUCCUCUUACGAACCCUCCCAAUAAGUAAAUAACUAAUACUCUCUACCACCCUAUUAUGGUGGAUAAAAAUAUCUGGCUAAUUUCCUUCUGCUAUACGCUGAGCUCGUAGUGUCAUGCUUACCGUACACCUGACGUACGGGCGCUAACGAGCUGGAUUGCCCCCCCGACUGCGGUCCAGUGGCAGUGGCAGUGGCAGUGGCAGUAGUGCGGUCCAACACGGUCCAGAGGCUACCGUCGGCUGGCUGACCCUGGGUGUAUGUAAGUAUGUAAGUAUGUAAGUAAGUAAGUAAGUAAGUAUGUAAGUAUGUAUGUAUGUAUGUAUGUAUGUAUGUAUGUAUGUAUGCACAGGGGGAAAGGGGGGUGGAAUGUUAGAUAUGACGGAUGGAGAGCGGGAGAUGGCGGAGAUGAGUGGAGUGUGAUGGAGAGUGCGGUCCAGGACCAGAGCUACUGCUGCUGAAACAACGAACAACAACAACGAACAACAUGCCAAAUUUGGCUACACAGGUUGGCGACAGAUAUUCAAGGUGUAAUCCUCGGCCCUGUGACCGCAUGCACCGACUGGCCCGGUCCUCCACACAUCUAUCUGCGGCGGACCGCACCUCCCGGUCCUCCACACAUCUAUCUGCGGCGGACCGCACCUCCCGGUCCUCCACACAUCUAUCUGCGGCGGACCGCACCUCCCGGUCCUCCACACAUCUAUCUGCGACGGACCGCACCUCCCGGUCCUCCACACAUCUAUCUGCGACGGACCGCACCUCCCGGUCCUCCACACAUCUAUCUGCGGCGGACCGCACCUCCCGGUCCUCCACACAUCUAUCUGCGGCGGACCGCACCUCCCGGUCCUCCACACAUCUAUCUGCGGCGGACCGCACCUCCCGGUCCUCCACACAUCUAUCUGCGGCGGACCGCACCUCCCGGUCCUCCACACAUCUAUCUGCGGCGGACCGCACCUCCCGGUCCUCCACACAUCUAUCUGCGGCGGACCGCACCUCCCGGUCCUCCACACAUCUAUCUGCGGCGGACCGCACCUCCCGGUCCUCCACACAUCUAUCUGCGGCGGACCGCACCUCCCGGUCCUCCACACAUCUAUCUGCGGCGGACCGCACCUCCCGGUCCUCCACACAUCCAUCUGCGGCGGACCGCACCUCCCGGUCCGUGCCCACCAGCGGCAUAUCGCCACCGCACGGCUCUCCUACCGGGUUAUCGGUAGUCGCCGCUGCAGGCUGGGAAGCGACCUGCCGUACAGCUCCGGAACCACAGCCAGCUAGCCACGCAUGCAUGCAUGCACAUAACAGGCGACACCCGCCCACACACACAUACGCCGACACGCGCCCACCUGCAGCGUUGCCACGUCGCUCCAUCCCCCCAC